RNAcentral lists this ribosomal RNA (1154 nucleotides) under Staphylococcus aureus. RNAcentral describes it as "bacterial SSU rRNA". Lineage: Bacteria; Bacillati; Bacillota; Bacilli; Caryophanales; Staphylococcaceae. The record is from RNAcentral.
GUGAGUAACACGUGGAUAACCUACCUAUAAGACUGGGAUAACUUCGGGAAACCGGAGCUAAUACCGGAUAAUAUUUUGAACCGCAUGGUUCRAAAGUGAAAGACGGUCUURCUGUCACUUAUAGAUGGAUCCGCGCUGCAUUAGCUAGUUGGUAAGGUAACGGCUUACCAAGGCAACGAUGCAUAGCCGACCUGAGAGGGUGAUCGGCCACACUGGAACUGAGACACGGUCCAGACUCCUACGGGAGGCAGCAGUAGGGAAUCUUCCGCAAUGGGCGAAAGCCUGACGGAGCAACGCCGCGUGAGUGAUGAAGGUCUUCGGAUCGUAAAACUCUGUUAUUAGGGAAGAAYAUAUGUGUAAGUAACUGUGCACAUCUUGACGGUACCUAAUCAGAAAGCCACGGCUAACUACGUGCCAGCAGCCGCGGUAAUACGUAGGUGGCAAGCGUUAUCCGGAAUUAUUGGGCGUAAAGCGCGCGUAGGCGGUUUUUUAAGUCUGAUGUGAAAGCCCACGGCUCAACCGUGGAGGGUCAUUGGAAACUGGAAAACUUGAGUGCAGAAGAGGAAAGUGGAAUUCCAUGUGUAGCGGUGAAAUGCGCAGAGAUAUGGAGGAACACCAGUGGCGAAGGCGRCUUUCUGGUCUGUAACUGACGCUGAUGUGCGAAAGCGUGGGGAUCAAACAGGAUUAGAUACCCUGGUAGUCCACGCCGUAAACGAUGAGUGCUAAGUGUUAGGGGGUUUCCGCCCCUUAGUGCUGCAGCUAACGCAUUAAGCACUCCGCCUGGGGAGUACGACCGCAAGGUUGAAACUCAAAGGAAUUGACGGGGACCCGCACAAGCGGUGGAGCAUGUGGUUUAAUUCGAAGCAACGCGAAGAACCUUACCAAAUCUUGACAUCCUUUGACAACUCUAGAGAUAGAGCYUUCCCCUUCGGGGGACAAAGUGACAGGUGGUGCAUGGUUGUCGUCAGCUCGUGUCGUGAGAUGUUGGGUUAAGUCCCGCAACGAGCGCAACCCUUAAGCUUAGUUGCCAUCAUUAAGUUGGGCACUCUAAGUUGACUGCCGGUGACAAACCGGAGGAAGGUGGGGAUGACGUCAAAUCAUCAUGCCCCUUAUGAUUUGGGCUACACACGUGCUACAAUGGACAAUACAAAGGG